GCCCUUGCGGAUCGCGGCCGCUGCAGAGUUUGAUCCUGGCUCAGAACGAACGCUGGCGGCGCGCUUAACACAUGCAAGUCGAGCGGCCGGGGGUUUCCCCGGCAGCGGCGGACGGGUGCGUAACGCGUGGGAACCUGCCCCUGGGUUCGGGACAACCGCGGGAAGCUGCGGCUGAUACCAGAUGAUCCCUGCGGGGGAAAGGCCUUCGGGUCGCCCGGGGAUGGGCCCGCGUCCGAUUAGGUAGUUGGUGGGGUAACGGCCUACCAAGCCUGUGAUCGGUAGCCGGUCUGAGAGGACGAUCGGCCACACUGGGACUGAGACACGGCCCAGACUCCUACGGGAGGCAGCAGUGGGGAAUCUUGGACAAUGGGCGCAAGCCUGAUCCAGCGACGCCGCGUGGGUGACGAAGGCCUUCGGGUUGUAAAGCCCUUUUCCCGGGGACGAUGGUGACGGUACCCGGGGAACAAGCACCGGCCAACUCCGUGCCAGCAGCCGCGGUAAGACGGAGGGUGCGAGCGUUGUUCGGAAUCACUGGGCGUAAAGGGCGCGUAGGCGGCCGUGCGUGUCGGGUGUGAAAGCCCGGGGCUCAACCCCGGAACGGCACCCGGGACUGCGCGGCUGGAGACCGGGAGAGGAGGGUGGAAUACCCAGUGUAGAGGUGAAAUUCGUAGAUAUUGGGUGGAACACCGGUGGCGAAAGCGGCCCUCUGGUCC
RNAcentral lists this ribosomal RNA (713 nucleotides) under uncultured bacterium. RNAcentral describes it as "bacterial SSU rRNA". It matches the Rfam family "Bacterial small subunit ribosomal RNA", at positions 1 to 735 of the family's 1533-position model. The record is from RNAcentral.